UACAGAGACUGCAAGCGGUAUUCGGAAUCACUGGGCUUACAGGGUGCGUAGGCGGUCUGUUAAGUAGGGUGUGAAAGCCCCCGGCUCAACCGGGGAAUUGCGCCCUAAACUGGCGGACUGGAGUGAGAUAGGGGUGUGCGGAACUUCCGGUGGAGCGGUGAAAUGUGUUGAUAUCGGAAGGAACGCCGGUGGCGAAAGCGGCACACUGGAUCUCAACUGACGCUGAGGCACGAAA
RNAcentral lists this ribosomal RNA (235 nucleotides) under uncultured prokaryote. Its description in RNAcentral is "partial 16S ribosomal RNA". It matches the Rfam family "Bacterial small subunit ribosomal RNA", at positions 524 to 758 of the family's 1533-position model. The record is from RNAcentral.